CAAUAGCGUAUAUUAAAGUUGUUGCAGUUAAAAAGCUCGUAGUUGGAUUUGUGGCGUACGGUGGGUUCCGGGCACUUGUUGUCUGAGUAACUUGCUGUUGCCAUCCUUGGGUGGAACCUGUGUGGCAUUAGGUUGUCGUGCAGGGGAUGCCCAUCAUUUACUGUGAAAAAAUUAGAGUGUUCAAAGCAGGCUUAUGCCGUUGAAUAUAUUAGCAUGGAAUAAUGAGAUAGGACUUUUUUGCUAUUUUGUUGGUUUGCGCAAAGAGGUAAUGAUUAAUAGGGACAGUCGGGGGUAUUCGUAUUCCAUUGUCAGAGGUGAAAUUCUUGGAUUUUUGGAAGACGAACUACUGCGAAAGCAUUUACCAAGGAUGUUUUCAUUAA
Molecule: ribosomal RNA, 380 nt
Filed under: uncultured eukaryote
Lineage: Eukaryota
Description: partial 18S ribosomal RNA
Rfam family: Eukaryotic small subunit ribosomal RNA
Source: RNAcentral